Bubalus bubalis (water buffalo) is the source of this 407-nucleotide long non-coding RNA. RefSeq lists it as uncharacterized. The transcript is spliced from 3 exons. The record is from RefSeq and is a predicted model, not a curated record. Lineage: Eukaryota; Metazoa; Chordata; Mammalia; Artiodactyla; Bovidae.
CUGGCAGAAUUUGCACAAUGAGCACCUACUCUUGGAUUUUUGCUGGGUUCACACAGAGGUGCUGGAAGAAGAAAAUAAACCAAAACAAGAGCUGAAAGAAGAAAAUAAACCAAAACAAGAGAUUUGAAAAAUCUCUUCUCAUUGUUUCACUAGAUGAAUGAAUUAGUCAUCCACUUGGUGAAAAUCCUAUUUACGCAUAUGAUCAGGACCCAAGCUAAAAGAGCCUUCAGAGAAGUCUAACCUUGGAAUGGACCAUUUCUUCUGCUUGCAUGCACAGACAGAGCUCCAGUUGCCUGUGGAUGAGAAGAGUCCUUCAGAGGAAUAUUUGGGACCAAGUGAGCUGAAAUGUUGAAGUGAAGUCUUUGGAGUUCAGCAAAGAAGAGGCCAGAAUCCCCAGGAGGUCCUGC